Molecule: non-coding RNA, 409 nt
Organism: Oryctolagus cuniculus (rabbit)
Lineage: Eukaryota; Metazoa; Chordata; Mammalia; Lagomorpha; Leporidae
Source: RefSeq, a predicted model, not a curated record
CUGUCAGCUGUGUCAUCCUACUGCAUGAUGGAAACUGGCAUAAGAGGGAUGGUGACCUAAACUAAUAUCUAAAGACAGAUCAGAACCCAUGGCCUCCUCAGCCCAAAACCACUAAAUUUCCAACAAACCGAGAAAAUGGCCUUUAGUCAGAUAUAUUAAGUGCUCCAGGAAGGACCUCUCAAAAAGGAAUCACUGACCACCACCACCCCAGUCCUCAUCAAAGAUCAAGAGAUAAUAUGUUCAUUAAAGGCAUCACUGCAACCCAGGUCAAAUGUAUGCUAUAUAUCACCAGGAAUACUGAGGUAACCUUUGAAAUGUGUUCUUUGCCACUCUGCCUCCCAAAUCCUUGCCCAGACUUGUAGCUGUUCAUAUAUGUUUUUAAAAUGUAUACCCCAUUGCUUAAAAAAAC